UACGGGGGGUGCGAGCGUUGUCCGGAAUUACUGGGCGUAAAGGGCUCGUAGGCGGCCAACUAAGUCCGACGUGAAAUCCCAAAGCUUAACUUUGGAACUGCGUCGGAUACUGGAUGGCUUGAAUUCGGGAGAGGGAUGCAGAAUUCCAGGUGUAGCGGUGAAAUGCGUAGAUAUCUGGAGGAAUACCGGUGGCGAAGGCGGCAUCCUGGACCGACAUUGACGCUGAGGAGCGAAAGCUAGGGGAGCAAACGGG
RNAcentral lists this ribosomal RNA (253 nucleotides) under uncultured bacterium. RNAcentral's name for it is "partial 16S ribosomal RNA". It matches the Rfam family "Bacterial small subunit ribosomal RNA", at positions 524 to 776 of the family's 1533-position model. The record is from RNAcentral.